RNAcentral lists this ribosomal RNA (754 nucleotides) under uncultured bacterium. RNAcentral describes it as "bacterial SSU rRNA". It matches the Rfam family "Bacterial small subunit ribosomal RNA", at positions 61 to 775 of the family's 1533-position model. The record is from RNAcentral.
GUCGAGCGAGCUUGCCUAGAUGAUUUUAGUGCUUGCACUAAAUGAAACUACCCUUUAGCGAGCGGCGGACGGGUGAGUAACACGUGGGUAACCUGCCCAAGAGACUGGGAUAACACCUGGAAACAGAUGCUAAUACCGGAUAACAACACUAGACGCAUGUCUAGAGUUUGAAAGAUGGUUCUGCUAUCACUCUUGGAUGGACCUGCGGUGCAUUAGCUAGUUGGUAAGGUAACGGCUUACCAAGGCAAUGAUGCAUAGCCGAGUUGAGAGACUGAUCGGCCACAUUGGGACUGAGACACGGCCCAAACUCCUACGGGAGGCAGCAGUAGGGAAUCUUCCACAAUGGACGAAAGUCUGAUGGAGCAACGCCGCGUGAGUGAAGAAGGGUUUCGGCUCGUAAAGCUCUGUUGGUAGUGAAGAAAGAUAGAGGUAGUAACUGGCCUUUAUUUGACGGUAAUUACUUAGAAAGUCACGGCUAACUACGUGCCAGCAGCCGCGGUAAUACGUAGGUGGCAAGCGUUGUCCGGAUUUAUUGGGCGUAAAGCGAGUGCAGGCGGUUCAAUAAGUCUGAUGUGAAAGCCUUCGGCUCAACCGGAGAAUUGCAUCAGAAACUGUUGAACUUGAGUGCAGAAGAGGAGAGUGGAACUCCAUGUGUAGCGGUGGAAUGCGUAGAUAUAUGGAAGAACACCAGUGGCGAAGGCGGCUCUCUGGUCUGCAACUGACGCUGAGGCUCGAAAGCAUGGGUAGCGAACAG